AUUCACUAAGGAUAUAUCUUGAAGGCCCAGUUAAUUAUUCAGGGUACACCCUAAGAUCUCCCAGGGCUGCAAGCCUUUAAAAGAAGCAGGAUCUCCUUUUUCAGGGUUUUUGUGUCAACACAGCUCUAUGUCUUGCUGCACCAGGUGAAGCAGGUUAGCAGAGGUGCUGGGAGUUGAAGGUAAAGACCUUUUUUUUUUUUUUCUGUGUAGUUCUUGUACCUGACAUCUUGUAGUUGCAAGGCAAGACACUUGAGCUUAUGCCUCUAUGAAAGAUUUUUACUCAGCCAUUGUAUUACUUGGGUUUGAUGAAUUUCUAUGUGCUUUUCAGCAGUAUGUAUUUGUGGAGGCACAGUCACUCAGUGAUGCCCAGUGCUGCAGUAGCUUUGGAAAGAUUUGGAGCUUCAGAGGCUGCUGUUUCCCUGAGAUGAUUCAGGUAAAAGAAGUACUACUUUGCCAUACUCAUGUUUCCAGUCCUUAAACCAAGGAGUACCAUGAGAACAUCUGAGUUGUGAACCUGAGUUUACUACUCCAAAGGCAACUUCUGCUGUCUAUGUGGAAAACCAGGGUUGCAAUGUAAAUACUGUUGUGAGAACUGGAGGGUUCUGUGGAGAAUGUCUAAUCUCCUUGGAAAUCUAGGUCCAUCCCUAAGGAUGUAGCCUCUGUUUCCUUCCUCAUCUGGGAAAAAUCACCCCUUUUUUCUAGAGAGAUUUUUUUUAAUAUUUCUUUAAUCCCAGGCUCUUCACACAUGUAGAUGCUGUGACUGAGGUGAGCCACCUGGGCCAGAAGGGAUUUCCUUCAGCAGAUGAGUUUCAGCUGGAUGCCUCUGUGUAACACAGCCCCCGUGCUCAGCAUUGAGCCUGGUGCCAUCUGGUUCUUGUGGUGCCUUCUGAAAGGGGCAGCUCCCUGCCUACUCCUUUGCCAGCAAACUAAUAACAGAAAUGAUCAUUAAUAUUAUGAGCUGUUUGAAAAGCAUCUGAACAGCUUACUAACUACCAGUGGGUGUCCAGAGGGUGCAGGAACAGAUUGCAUUUAAUUUUUUUUUUAAAUUCAUGUACUUAAUUUCGUAAUAGUUGUCUCUGUUUUUUCACUGAAUCUAACUGUUAUUUCUGUAGCUCUUCUUUGGUACCAAUAUCAGUGUUUCUGGCACUACACCUGUGCAUACCCUCCAGUCAAGUAGAAAUGAAUGAAUUUUUAUUUGCCUGCAGGCUGCUAGAAAAGUUCCUCUGACUUCAUGGUGGAUAUUGUUGCCAUCAUCUUUGUCCAUGUGGUGGUGUUGCAUACUCUUACAAAGUACUGUAAUCCAUUAUAGUUGUAUUGCUUUCCAAAUGUUGGGCAUUUUCUUGGCCCAUGCUGUUUGCCACAGCAUGUGUAACCCCACAUGAUACGUGUAUAUUUUUUGUAAGCUCCAACACUGGCCUCUCCACCUUCUUUUCUGCCUGAAGGUUCUUUUUUAUUAUUAUUUUUUCUUUCUCUUUUUU
This 1478-nucleotide long non-coding RNA is filed under the name Anas platyrhynchos platyrhynchos (common mallard). RNAcentral describes it as "lncRNA (ENSAPLG00000024677.1)". The record is from RNAcentral. Lineage: Eukaryota; Metazoa; Chordata; Aves; Anseriformes; Anatidae.